RNAcentral lists this ribosomal RNA (1463 nucleotides) under uncultured Treponema sp. RNAcentral describes it as "bacterial SSU rRNA". It matches the Rfam family "Bacterial small subunit ribosomal RNA". Lineage: Bacteria; Pseudomonadati; Spirochaetota; Spirochaetia; Treponematales; Treponemataceae. The record is from RNAcentral.
AACGAACGCUGGCGGUGCGUCUUAAGCAUGCAAGUCGAACGGCAAGAAAGUGCUUGCACUUUCCUAGAGUGGCGGACUGGUGAGUAACGCGUGGGUGAUCUACCUUUAAGAUGGGGAUAGCUUUUAGAAAUAAGAGAUAAUACCGAAUGUGCUUACGAUGUUUUGACAUUGUAAGGAAAGGAGCGUUUGCUCCGCUUAAAGAUGAGCCUGCGUCCCAUUAGCUAGUUGGUGAGGUAAGGGCCCACCAAGGCGAUGAUGGGUAUCCAACCUGAGAGAGUGAUCGGACACAUUGGGACUGAGAUACGGCCCAAACUCCUACGGGAGGCAGCAGCUGAGAAUCUUCCGCAAUGGACGAAAGUCUGACGGAGCGACACCGCGUGAAUGAUGAAGACCGAAAGGUUGUAAAAUUCUUUUGCAGACAAAGAAUAAGUGCAGGAGGAAAUGCCUGCAUGAUGACGGUAGUUAUGCGAAUAAGCCCCGGCUAAUUACGUGCCAGCAGCCGCGGUAAUACGGAGGGUGCAAGCGUUACUCGGAAUCACUGGGCGUAAAGGACGCGUAGGCGGAUUAUCAAGUCUCUUGUGAAAUCUAACGGCUCAACCGUUAAACUGCUUGGGAAACUGAUAAUCUAGAGUAAGGGAGAGGCAGAUGGAAUUCUUGGUGUAGGGGUAAAAUCCGUAGAUAUCAAGAAGAAUACCUAUUGCGAAGGCGAUCUGCUGGAACUUAACUGACGCUAAUGCGUGAAAGCGUGGGGAGCAAACAGGAUUAGAUACCCUGGUAGUCCACGCCCUAAACGAUGUAUACCGGUUGUUGCUGUGCUAGUCACGGCAGUAAUCCACCUAACGGAUUAAGUAUACCGCCUGGGGAGUACGGUCGCAAGAUUAAAACUCAAAGGAAUAGACGGGGACCCGCACAAGCGGUGGAGCAUGUGGUUUAAUUCGAAGAUACGCGAAGAACCUUACCCGGACUUGAUAUCUAACAAAUCAUCCAGAGAUGGAAGAGUGUCUGCUUGCAGAAAUGUUAAGACAGGUGCUGCACGGCUGUCGUCAGCUCGUGUCGUGAGAUGUUGGGUUAAGUCCCGCAACGAGCGCAACCCACGUCAUUAGUUGCUAACGGUUCGGCCGAGCACUCUAAUGAGACUGCCUUCGUAAGGAGGAGGAAGGUGUGGACGACGUCAAGUCAUCAUGGCCCUUAUGUCCGGGGCGACACACGUGCUACAAUGGCAUAUACAAUAAGACGCAAUAUCGCGAGAUGGAGCAAAUCUAAAAAAUAUGUCCCAGUUCGGAUUGGAGUCUGCAACUCGACUCCAUGAAGCCGGAAUCGCUAGUAAUCGUAGAUCAGCCAUGCUACGGUGAAUACGUUCCCGGGUCUUGUACUCACCGCCCGUCACACCAUGGGAGUUGAUUUCACUCGAAGCGGGAAUGCGAAAUUCGCUACCCUCCACAGUGGAAUCAGCGACUGGGGUG